CGCGAUAAAUACGCAAGGAAUGUUAAAUGCCCGGUGUGAAUGGCGUAUUUCUUGUUAUUAUAAUAUUUUGUGCUUAAUCACCAAUUGUACAUAUAUGUCCAUGUACUUAUUUUUAAAAAUUAAUCAUUGAUGUUUAGUCUAAAAUAAAAUGGAUAGAAUAAUAAAAGGUAUAAUGAGAUACAGACAGUGUCACAGAGAAGGAAUGGUUAAACAAUUUAAACAAGUUAAAGAUCAUCCCGAACCAAAAGCAGUAUUUUUUACUUGCAUGGAUUCACGGAUGAUUCCUACUAGAUUCACGGAAACAAAUGUUGGAGAUAUGUUUGUUGUACGUAAUGCUGGUAAUGUUGUACCACACUCGCAACAUUUUAUUGAUGAAUUAACAAUGUGUGAGCCGGCAGCUUUGGAGCUUGGAUGUGUUGUUAAUGAUAUACGUCAUAUUAUUGUUUGUGGUCACAGUGAUUGUAAAGCCAUUAAUUUAUUGUACUCUCUUCAGGAUGAGGAAUUUGCUUCAAAAGAUAAUAGAAGAAUAUCACCAUUGAGAGCAUGGUUGUGUGCUCACGCAAAUAGUAGCCUAGAAAAAUUUAAACAAUUAAAAACAACUGGAUUUCAUCAGCCUAUGAUUUUUCAAGCUGAAACUCCAAUGAGAAAAUUUGUCGCUUACAUUGAUCCAGAAGAUAAAUUUGCUGUUGAAGAUAAACUUUCACAGAUAAAUACACUUCAGCAAUUACAAAAUAUUGCGUCAUAUGGAUUUUUGAAAAAACGUUUGGAACGGCAUGAUCUUCAUAUUCAUGCACUUUGGUUUGAUAUUUAUACUGGAGAUAUAUACUAUUUUAGUCGGGGUAAUAAAAGAUUCAUUGAAAUAAAUGAAAUAACUGAAAAACCCCUAUUAAGAGAAAUUGAAAAAUAUUACUCCUGAUAAAUAUAAUUACCCAAUAACUUGUAUACCUUCGAUACAUUCGAUUAUCAAAGAUAAUUAGCACAAUUAUUUUUCGACAGUUAUAUAUAUAUAUAUUUAUAUAGUUUUUCUGUGUACAAAUUAUAAAAAAUAAAUUUAUACAUACAGGUGCCAGAACGGUGGUAGCAAGUGAACUAGAGCAUGCCACUCCCGAAAGAGAAAGCAAAACAACAAAACUACUUAUACUAAUAUAUAAGCAUAGCCUAAGCCUGUCGCCUCUUUACUAUUU
RNAcentral lists this unclassified non-coding RNA (1184 nucleotides) under Cotesia glomerata. Its description in RNAcentral is "beta carbonic anhydrase 1, transcript variant X1". Lineage: Eukaryota; Metazoa; Arthropoda; Insecta; Hymenoptera; Braconidae. The record is from RNAcentral.